RNAcentral lists this long non-coding RNA (814 nucleotides) under Cavia porcellus (domestic guinea pig). RNAcentral's name for it is "lncRNA (ENSCPOG00000036025.1)". Lineage: Eukaryota; Metazoa; Chordata; Mammalia; Rodentia; Caviidae. The record is from RNAcentral.
AUCAGAAAGAAGCAGGUACUAAGUAAUGGGUUGUUUUAUUAAAGUGAAAACAUGAAUACGUGAAAAAGUUGCCACUGUGCUUCUGUAAAACAGUAGCUGGCAGGGACUUCACCUAUGGGUGCGGAUUCGACAGUGUGUGAGAAACGUACAUAACUGCAAUGCCUGUCCUAUGCACAGGUGAAAAUACGGGACACCCUCAGUUACAGAAGAGGCUCACUGCUGUGUCUCCGCUGCCACAAUACACAGAGCUGUGGGACGCAGUGCCCAGAGCUGCACCAGCCUGCACGGAUAAACCUCAGACCUGGAACAUUAAGCACAACGAAUGGAAAACAAAUGUGAAAAAGGACCCUAAAUUUAGGAUACCAAUGAGCUCUAUGGAAAACAAAGGGGGAGAUCAGACCAAGAUUGGGCAGUUCCACGGCAGGCAAGUAUAUGUGAAAUGUUUUAUUUCUUUUAAAAAACUGUAACCAAAAAUGGUGGCAAAACUGUUACUAUUUGAGAAACAUUGGCAGUGGGUUAGGGCUAUAUAUAUCAGCAUCAUCAUCACUGUCACCAUCAUCACAGUAAACUAUAGCUAGUGUCGGACCUGGUGCCCCCACUUUGCCCCUUUGCCUGGAAUCUGUGACAGUGAUUACCACGGGCGGAAGCUGGUUCAGGGGUCUGGCCGAUGGCAGACUGCUCCCCAGCAAUGUUACCUGUUCUUGCCACUCAGGGUUUAAAUAACCCACAAGGCAGAAUCAAAGACUCUUGAAGUCUACAUACCUUUAGAUUGCUCUAUUCAUCUAAAUUAACAGCAAUAGUAAGGAACCCCAGA